Molecule: long non-coding RNA, 1797 nt
Filed under: Amborella trichopoda
Lineage: Eukaryota; Viridiplantae; Streptophyta; Magnoliopsida; Amborellales; Amborellaceae
Description: long non-coding RNA (ATRI_LNC003961)
Source: RNAcentral
UUUCAUUGUUGGGUCACGUCUUGAGAGAGAGAGAGGAAGGAGAGAGAAAAUUUUGGGUUGGUACCGCUAAGCUUAUCUCUUCUGUCUUCUCUUUCUCUCUCUUCUCUCCUCUCUCUCUCUUUCUCUCUCCCCUUCCACAGACGACAGAACCCCAUUGCCGUCUGUGUUUUACUUUUUCUCAUUCUCUUUUUCUCUUUUCCUCUUGCGGUCUCACUUAACCACGAUCUCUCUCUUAUCCUCCCUGUGGUCCUCAUGACCACAACCUUCCCCUCUCCUUCCUUGUGGUCCAGCAUGACCACUAUCUCCCCCUUUUCUUUUUCUUUUAUCUCUUGCAUGACCAUUUUCUUCCUGUGCACCCUUAGGCUCACCUACCCCUUCUUUUUCUGGUAGUACCUCAUGUUGUUUCCCUUUCUCUUCUUUUUCUGAAUUUCGUUACAUCACCCUUUUAGAUGAACCCUCACGUUCCCAUUUUUCCACUCACAACCCAUGGUCCCAAACGACCACCAUUCCUAAGCUUUUCCUUCCCCAUCGCCCGUGAGCGCCCAUCUUACCUAUAGUCGUGUGAACCUAUCUUACCUAUCACCGUGCGCGCAACAGACCCAUAUCUAUUGCCGUGUGUGCAACAAAACCCAAUGCCGUGUGUGACCUAUCCUCACCUAUCGUCAUGUGCAACCUAUCAUCUCCUAUCGCCGUGUGUAACCCAUCCUUCCCUUAUGCCAUGUGCAACCUAUCCUCCCCUAUCGCUGUGUUUGCAAAGCCACCACCCAACGCCGUGUGUGCAAGCCACCACCCACCGUCGUGCGUGAUCUCCACACCACAACUGCAGCCGGCUGAAACUCCCUGCUACACUAUUUCCUUCUCGCUCAGUUACGCCUCAGCCCCCUCUCUCUCGGCUAGCAGCAUCACCGUCUCCACUUCUGUCACUGCUUUCUCUCUCUCUCUAGCUCUCUGCCCUCAACCAUCUUUCACUACCAUAACCACCCACUUGUUAUUCACGUAGCCUUUCCAUCUACUCUUAACCCAAGCACUCCCACUCUCCUCCCCAAUUACUGCUACACUCCAUUCUAGCAAUUCUUCCACCGCCAUUUUCAUCCAUCCUCCAUCUGCAGCCCAUCCGCCUCUUCCUCCAUCUUCACUUUUCUCUAGUCUGCCACAAUCUUUCACCCCUCAAUCACAGCGACCAUCACUUACCUUGCUGGUCCACCAUUAACAACUCUCCCACCGUUUUCUCAGCCACCGGCAGCCAGUCGUUGUUCUCUCUUUCCACCUCAUGCGGUUAUCCUCGCCUCUUCCAUCCACCAACACUCCCUCUACCCUGCACCUCUUUCACUCCUCUCUCCUUACCCUUCUCUUCUUCAUGAUCACCUGCUUGAACCAGGCGACACCAUAACUGUCAUUGCCACCCUCUUUCUCCUCCUCCUUCCUCUCAGCCUGCUGUUCCAGGCAGCAGUUGAAUCGUAAUCGCCACCACUCAUAGCCUCAUAUCUCCUCACUCCACCGAGUCUUCUCCUCCACCAGCUGCAACCUUCGCUUGACCCCCAUUCUCUCCCUUCCACCUUCACUUGCUGCCCUCUGCUCUCCCAUGGUUUCCUUCCCCUUCGCUUUCUCUCACUAGAAACCCACAAGGUAAAAACCCAUGAACAAAACCCACUUCCCCUUUUCUUCUUUUUUGCACUUUUUCUUUUCAUUGUAGGAUUGCGUUUCUCUCACCUUAUGUCAUUCAACCCAACAAAACGCAAACCCAACGUGCCUCUCUUUCUUUCAUAGAAAACCCAAUAAUACAUUUCUCUCUUUCUC